CUUCUUUGAGAGUUACCACCAGAUUUUAAUCAUAAAUAUUAAUGUGUUUUAUUCAGCUAUCUAUGUAACCUUGGCAAGUCACUUUACCUCUCCGGGCCUCACUUUCCUCAUCUAUCAGUGUUGCUUCAUUGUCUUCUGACAUUGGAUGUUGCUGUGGAGAAGUCUGAAGCCAGGCUGAUUUUCUUACCACUUUGUAGCAUUUUUUACAAUAGCCAA
Myotis brandtii (Brandt's bat) is the source of this 216-nucleotide long non-coding RNA. RefSeq lists it as uncharacterized. The transcript has 3 exons. Lineage: Eukaryota; Metazoa; Chordata; Mammalia; Chiroptera; Vespertilionidae. The record is from RefSeq and is a predicted model, not a curated record.